This 75-nucleotide transfer RNA is filed under the name Anaerolineae bacterium. Its description in RNAcentral is "tRNA-Met". It matches the Rfam family "tRNA". From Rfam's summary of the family: Transfer RNA (tRNA) molecules are approximately 80 nucleotides in length. The record is from RNAcentral. Lineage: Bacteria; Bacillati; Chloroflexota; Anaerolineae.
UGCGGGGUAGAGCAGAGGCAGCUCGUCGGGCUCAUAACCCGGAGGUCGUAGGUUCGAAUCCUACCCCCGCUACCU